ACGCUGGCGGCAGGCUUAACACAUGCAAGUCGAACGGUAACAGGGAUUAGCUUGCUAAUUUGCUGACGAGUGGCGGACGGGUGAGUAAUGCUUGGGAAUCUGGCUUAUGGAGGGGGAUAACUACGGGAAACUGUAGCUAAUACCGCGUAAUAUCGGAAGAUUAAAGGGUGGGACUUUCGAGCCACCUGCCAUAAGAUGAGCCCAAGUGGGAUUAGGUAGUUGGUUAGGUAAAGGCUGACCAAGCCGACGAUCUCUAGCUGGUCUGAGAGGAUGACCAGCCACACUGGAACUGAGACACGGUCCAGACUCCUACGGGAGGCAGCAGUGGGGAAUAUUGCACAAUGGGGGGAACCCUGAUGCAGCCAUGCCGCGUGAAUGAAGAAGGCCUUCGGGUUGUAAAGUUCUUUCGGUGACGAGGAAGGUUGAUAGGUUAAUAGCCUAUCAAAUUGACGUUAAUCACAGAAGAAGCACCGGCUAACUCCGUGCCAGCAGCCGCGGUAAUACGGGGGGUGCGAGCGUUAAUCGGAAUAACUGGGCGUAAAGGGCACGCAGGCGGUGACUUGAGUGAGAUGUGAAAGCCCCGAGCUUAACUUGGGAAUUGCAUUUCAUACUGGGUCGCUAGAGUACUUUAGGGAGGGGUAGAAUUCCACGUGUAGCGGUGAAAUGCGUAGAGAUGUGGAGGAAUACCGAAGGCGAAGGCAGCCCCUUGGGAAUGUACUGACGCUCAUGUGCGAAAGCGUGGGGAGCAAACAGGAUUAGAUACCCUGGUAGUCCACGCUGUAAACGAUGUCGAUUUGGGGAUUGGGCUUUGAGCUUGGUGCCCGUAGCUAACGUGAUAAAUCGACCGCCUGGGGAGUACGGCCGCAAGGUUAAAACUCAAAUGAAUUGACGGGGGCCCGCACAAGC
Molecule: ribosomal RNA, 906 nt
Filed under: uncultured bacterium
Lineage: Bacteria
Description: bacterial SSU rRNA
Rfam family: Bacterial small subunit ribosomal RNA
Source: RNAcentral